UGGUACUUAAGAUAACGUAAGGGAAAAAAAUGAUAUUACCUUACUAUAAGUGUUGUCCAACAAACUGGUGCCAGAAGACUCGGUAACGCCAGAAACGCAAACGUUAGUCGUCCUAAUCAGGCGUAAAGGGUGAGUAGGCUGCUUUUAAAGUUAUUGAUUAGAAAGCUCUAACCUAAAUAACAAGGUUUUAAUAAACGGAAUUAUUUAAUUAGUUAGUAAUUAAUAAUGAAUAAAAGCUAGAAUCAAAAAGAGGAUAGGCCGAACAAUGUUUAGAGUAGGAAUGAAAUCCUUAGAUACUAAAUGGAGUACUAAAGGUGAAAACUUUUAUCUAAUAAUGAUUGACGCUGAGGAACGAAGGUGAGAAUAGAAAAUAGGAUUAGAGACCCAGAUAUCUCUCACUGUCAACGAUGAAUGGUAGUUGUUAGUUUUAAUAAAAACUAGUAACGAUGUUAACGCGAUUACCAUUCCGCCUUGCGAGUACG
This 482-nucleotide ribosomal RNA is filed under the name Agaricus pocillator. Its description in RNAcentral is "small subunit ribosomal RNA". It matches the Rfam family "Bacterial small subunit ribosomal RNA", at positions 423 to 884 of the family's 1533-position model. Lineage: Eukaryota; Fungi; Basidiomycota; Agaricomycetes; Agaricales; Agaricaceae. The record is from RNAcentral.